UACGUAGGGUGCAAGCGUUAAUCGGAUUUACUGGGCGUAAAGCGUGCGUAGGCGGCUUCUUAAGUCGGAUGUGACAUCCCUGAGCUUAACUUAGGAAUUGCAUUCGAUACUGGGAAGCUAGAGUAUGGUAGAGGAUGGUAGAAUUCCAGGUGUAGCGGUGAAAUGCGUAGAGAUCUGGAGGAAUACCGAUGGCGAAGGCAGCCAUCUGGCCUAAUACUGACGCUGAGGUACGAAAGUGUGGGUAGCGAACAGG
RNAcentral lists this unclassified non-coding RNA (253 nucleotides) under uncultured Moraxellaceae bacterium. Its description in RNAcentral is "contains 16S-23S intergenic spacer region". It matches the Rfam family "Bacterial small subunit ribosomal RNA", at positions 524 to 776 of the family's 1533-position model. The record is from RNAcentral. Lineage: Bacteria; Pseudomonadati; Pseudomonadota; Gammaproteobacteria; Moraxellales; Moraxellaceae.